This 253-nucleotide long non-coding RNA is filed under the name Capsicum annuum. RNAcentral describes it as "long non-coding RNA (CANN_LNC004942)". Lineage: Eukaryota; Viridiplantae; Streptophyta; Magnoliopsida; Solanales; Solanaceae. The record is from RNAcentral.
UUAAACAGCGCCUCUACUCUGGUUACUCCCCGCCACGGCUUCUUGCCUCAAUGGUUUCACCUUUAGGAUGGCAUAGUCCUUAGGGAUUUUUCUCCAUUUCCUCUUUGUUAAUAAACUUCUUAACAUAUUAUUCUUCGAAUAAUUCUACUAUAAAGUAACUAAUAUGAAUUUAUUUUAUCAUAUCAUGAUUGUUGGGAAUUAUGAAUUUAGCUAUUCAUAAUCAUAAAUAGAUAUACCUGUUCGGGUAGCUUUG